UGCAAACUGCGAAUACCGGAGAAUGUUAUCACGGGAGACACACGGCGGGUGCUAACGUCCGUCGUGAAGAGGGAAACAACCCAGACCGCCAGCUAAGGUCCCAAAGUCAUGGUUAAGUGGGAAACGAUGUGGGAAGGCCCAGACAGCCAGGAUGUUGGCUUAGAAGCAGCCAUCAUUUAAAGAAAGCGUAAUAGCUCACUGGUCGAGUCGGCCUGCGCGGAAGAUGUAACGGGGCUAAACCAUGCACCGAAGCUGCGGCAGCGACGCUGAUGCGUUGUUGGGUAGGGGAGCGUUCUGUAAGCCUGUGAAGGUGUGUCGUGAGGC
RNAcentral lists this ribosomal RNA (324 nucleotides) under Salmonella enterica subsp. enterica. RNAcentral's name for it is "partial 23S ribosomal RNA". It matches the Rfam family "Bacterial large subunit ribosomal RNA", at positions 948 to 1269 of the family's 2925-position model. Lineage: Bacteria; Pseudomonadati; Pseudomonadota; Gammaproteobacteria; Enterobacterales; Enterobacteriaceae. The record is from RNAcentral.